GGGCCCGCACAAGCGGUGGAGCAUGUGGUUUAAUUCGAUGAUACGCGAGGAACCUUACCAGGGCUUAAAUGUAGUCUGACAGGGGUGGAAACACCCCCUCCUUCGGGCAGAUUACAAGGUGCUGCAUGGUUGUCGUCAGCUCGUGCCGUGAGGUGUCAGGUUAAGUCCUAUAACGAGCGCAACCCCUGCCGUUAGUUGCCAGCAUGUAAUGAUGGGAACUCUAACGGGACUGCCGGUGCAAACCGCGAGGAAGGUGGGGAUGACGUCAAAUCAUCACGGCCCUUACGUCCUGGGCUACACACGUGCUACAAUGGCCGGUACAGAGGGCAGCCACACCGCAAGGUGGAGCGAAUCCUUAAAACCGGUCUCAGUUCGGAUUGAGGUCUGCAACUCGACCUCAUG
This 402-nucleotide ribosomal RNA is filed under the name uncultured bacterium. RNAcentral describes it as "bacterial SSU rRNA". It matches the Rfam family "Bacterial small subunit ribosomal RNA", at positions 917 to 1322 of the family's 1533-position model. The record is from RNAcentral.